GGGUCAGUAUUUUCUGCAUCCCAUGAACGGAAGUGAGAACAGCCUUGGGAGCUAAUGCCGAAGGUGGGAGAAUCUGAUGCCCUCAGUCUCCAGUGAACUAAAGCUGAAGAAGACUCAGAUUUCUGACACAAUGGUAACACCUAUCCCUUCUGCCUGUGACUGCCAGGGCUUGCUGUAUGAUGAUAAGAAGAGAAUGUGACACAGAGGAAGGGGAAAAAGUCCAUCCCUCUGGUAGUAGGGGGUUGUGGAAUGGGAGGGAAAAAGGGAGAAGGAGAAGUAGAAAAUACUCAUAUCUAAAUGUCUUCAUGUCUUCUGCUUGACUUUAGCCAGGAAUGAGUGUUAGGAAAGAGGGGAUGCUCUAGAAGAGGAAGCUAU
RNAcentral lists this long non-coding RNA (375 nucleotides) under Homo sapiens (human). RNAcentral describes it as "non-protein coding lnc-ADH7-1:1". Lineage: Eukaryota; Metazoa; Chordata; Mammalia; Primates; Hominidae. The record is from RNAcentral.